GAUGAACGCUGGCGGCAUGCCUAACACAUGCAAGUCGAACGGAAUCUUAUAUGUUCCUCGUUUUGGAUUUAGUUCCAAGUUGAGGAACAAUAAGAUUUAGUGGCGGACGGGUGAGUAACACGUUGGUACCUACCCUCUAGUGGGGAAUAACUUCGAGAAAUCGAGGCUAAUACCGCAUAAUAUCUACGGAUUAAAGCAUUUAUGCGCUAGAGGAGGGGCCUGCGUCUGAUUAGCUAGUUGGUGAGGUAAAAGCUCACCAAGGCAACGAUCAGUAGCUGGAUCGAGAGGUUGACCAGCCACACUGGGACUGAGAUACGGCCCAGACUCCUACGGGAGGCAGCAGUGAGGAAUCUUCCACAAUGG
This 363-nucleotide ribosomal RNA is filed under the name uncultured bacterium. RNAcentral describes it as "bacterial SSU rRNA". It matches the Rfam family "Bacterial small subunit ribosomal RNA", at positions 28 to 374 of the family's 1533-position model. The record is from RNAcentral.